AUUGAACGCUGGCGGCAGGCCUAACACAUGCAAGUCGAACGGUAACAGGAAGAAGCUUGCUUCUUUGCUGACGAGUGGCGGACGGGUGAGUAAUGUCUGGGAAACUGCCUGAUGGAGGGGGAUAACUACUGGAAACGGUAGCUAAUACCGCAUAACGUCGCAAGACCAAAGAGGGGGACCUUCGGGCCUCUUGCCAUCGGAUGUGCCCAGAUGGGAUUAGCUAGUAGGUGGGGUAACGGCUCACCUAGGCCACGAUCCCUAGCUGGUCUGAGAGGAUGACCAGCCACACUGGAACUGAGACACGGUCCAGACUCCUACGGGAGGCAGCAGUGGGGAAUAUUGCACAAUGGGCGCAAGCCUGAUGCAGCCAUGCCGCGUGUAUGAAGAAGGCCUUCGGGUUGUAAAGUACUUUCAGCGGGGAGGAAGGGAGUAAAGUUAAUACCUUUACUCAUUGACGUUACCCGCAGAAGAAGCACCGGCUAACUCCGUG
RNAcentral lists this ribosomal RNA (490 nucleotides) under uncultured bacterium. RNAcentral's name for it is "partial 16S ribosomal RNA". It matches the Rfam family "Bacterial small subunit ribosomal RNA", at positions 30 to 507 of the family's 1533-position model. The record is from RNAcentral.